UACAGAGACUGCAAGCGUUAUUCGGAUUCACUGGGCGUAAAGGGUGCGCAGGCGGCCAAGUGUGUGAGGCGUGAAAGCCCGGGGCUUAACCCCGGAAUUGCACCUCAAACUACAUGGCUAGAGCAUUGGAGAGGGUAGCAGAAUUCAUGGUGUAGCAGUGAAAUGCGUAGAUAUCAUGAGGAAUACCAGAGGCGAAGGCGGCUACCUGGACAAUUGCUGACGCUCAGGCACGAAAGUGUGGGGAUCAAACAGG
RNAcentral lists this ribosomal RNA (253 nucleotides) under uncultured bacterium. Its description in RNAcentral is "partial 16S ribosomal RNA". It matches the Rfam family "Bacterial small subunit ribosomal RNA", at positions 524 to 776 of the family's 1533-position model. The record is from RNAcentral.